CAUAGAUUGCCAGGAUUACAUUUCUGCACACAUCCUUUCCAGGAAGAUCAGGCCCCAAGUGAUUGAUGCGGAUCCUUCCAAAGAGAAGAAAAAGCCUAAAGAAAGCGCUGGCUAAUAUUCCGUCUCUUUUGGAGUUGAAACGGUUAUACUAUGACUCAUGAUACGAUUUACUUGAUGGAUUUGAACUCGCAUCUCGGUAUAUCUCGCAUUUAUGUGGUUAACGAUGUAGAUAUAAAUGAUUACCUUGAGAUUUGUUGAUACUGUAAGGCGAUAUAUGAGAUUCCAUCAGUGAAGGGCAAUCCAGAGCAGUGGAUACCGGUGAAGCUCUUUCCUUGUUAAGUCUUUACUGAGCUUUUCAAGGCACAGCUGUUCAUUCUAUGAUUUAAUCAAAUGCGGGUUCUAAGGAAAAUCUGCUGGUACUUAGUUCUAUCACCACAUGAUCCUGGGCAGUUGAGCCUCCUUAAUGCCACUUUAGAGAAUAAACAUAUCUCAGAAAUUCCCAUUCCAUCUUUGAUUUGUUCUAGGUUGCUGCUGAAACAAUUGGUCAUGGUGGAGGUUAUCCAAUGGACACCUCUUUAAAGUACUUUCAAAAAUGAAUUUGAGAAUGAGAAAACGUGCUAGGAGGUGCACUUGUUGAGAAGGCAGCAGAAAAUCUUUGAUAGGGCCCAAUCAUAGUCAAAAGAAGAAUUUUGGCUUCUCCUAGGUGAGACAAGCUACCUUUAGCUAGGAGCCUUUCAGAGAAUCAUCGAACAUGUAAUUACAGUACUUGUCGUUUUUAUUCUUUUAAUUGGAUCAUCACUCAUAUGUGACUCACUCUAUUUUCUACAGAAUAUUAUUUGUCGUUUUGAAGUAUUGCUGGAGGAUUACCCUAAAGAGACUUGCAGAGCUGUUAUGCCUCAGAAUCCCGGUCUAAUUACAUGGAACAAUUGUUUAUGUUCAUUAUCCAUGUCACUCUUUAUGAAUGAUUGCGUAGACCC
Molecule: long non-coding RNA, 977 nt
Organism: Eucalyptus grandis
Lineage: Eukaryota; Viridiplantae; Streptophyta; Magnoliopsida; Myrtales; Myrtaceae
Exons: 3
Source: RefSeq, a predicted model, not a curated record